AUUCUGCCCAUGCGGGGAAGGAUGAGAAGCUUCGACUAAGGUUCGGCUCGAGCGUCAGCGUGAGAGCGUUGCCGCAGGCAACGACCCGAAGGGCGAAGCGCGCAGCGCUGAGUAAUCCUUCCCCCACCACCA
RNAcentral lists this small RNA (132 nucleotides) under Escherichia coli. Its description in RNAcentral is "RtT sRNA". It matches the Rfam family "RtT RNA". Rfam says of the family: This family represents a bacterial cis-regulatory element known as RtT RNA. Lineage: Bacteria; Pseudomonadati; Pseudomonadota; Gammaproteobacteria; Enterobacterales; Enterobacteriaceae. The record is from RNAcentral.